Molecule: ribosomal RNA, 395 nt
Filed under: uncultured bacterium
Lineage: Bacteria
Description: bacterial SSU rRNA
Rfam family: Bacterial small subunit ribosomal RNA
Source: RNAcentral
GUGCCAGCCGCCGCGGUAAUACGUAGGUGGCGAGCGUUGUCCGGAUUUACUGGGCGUAAAGCGCGCGCAGGCGGACUGAUCAGUCUGGGGUGAAAUCUCACGGCUCAACUGUGAGCGGUCCCUGGAUACUGUCAGUCUUGAGAUGUCUAGAGGAGAGCGGAAUUCCCGGUGUAGUGGUGGAAUGCGUAGAUAUCGGGAAGAACACCAGUGGCGAAAGCGGCUCUCUGGGGACCAUCUGACGCUGAGGCGCGAAAGCGUGGGGAGCGAACCGGAUUAGAUACCCGGGUAGUCCACGCCGUAAACGAUGAGCACUAGCUGUCGGGGGUAUCGACCCCUCCGGUAGCGCAGCUAACGCGAUAAGUGCUCCGCCUGGGGACUACGGCCGCAAGGCUAAA